UACGUAGGGGGCAAGCGUUGUCCGGAUUUACUGGGCGUAAAGAGCGCGCAGGCGGUCGUACAAGUCGCGUGUGAAAGCCCCCGGCUCAACUGGGGAGGGUCACGCGAUACUGUUCGACUCGAAGGCAGGAGAGGGAAGUGGAAUUCCCGGUGUAGUGGUGAAAUGCGUAGAUAUCGGGAGGAACACCAGUGGCGAAGGCGACUUCCUGGCCUGUUCUUGACGCUGAGGCGCGAAAGCUAGGGGAGCAAACAGG
RNAcentral lists this ribosomal RNA (253 nucleotides) under uncultured bacterium. RNAcentral describes it as "partial 16S ribosomal RNA". It matches the Rfam family "Bacterial small subunit ribosomal RNA", at positions 524 to 776 of the family's 1533-position model. The record is from RNAcentral.